UACCAUGUGCGCAAGUCCCUUUAUGUGAGGGUCUUACAUUUGGAAAAAUUCUCGACAAAAUCAGGGAUAAAAGGCCGACCAGAAUGGCUUGAAAGGUGGGAAACAGUGAAAGAAGUAAAAGGAGAGACACGAUACGAGGAAGACGAAUCUUCUCACGAGAAGGCAAAAGAAAUGAUAAUCGGUGAGUCGUGAAGAUUCCAAUUCCUAAGGCCAAGGAUAUGACAAGACGGAAAACAGAUAUGAAGGCGAUCUCUUAAUUCGGUUGCACAAGACUUCAUAAUUAACCCGAAUUUCAACCCGGAGCCGAAAGGACUUAUGUAUAAAACAUACGAGGAGAAGAGCCGAGGAAGGACGCGCGGCACCUCGCCGUUUGCCGUUUGCCCUCUUAAGAAUUUUGAAUCGAACUUUCAAAGCUGUUGCAUGCUCGGGCAACGCCGACGAAGAGAAUAGCAAUCAAUCAGCAAGAAUCUCGGGAUGGGUGUCGCAACGGAAACAACAAAUAGUACUCGCCGAAAAGGCAGUGCCGAAUAAGAAAUAAUAACUA
This is a long non-coding RNA of Cimex lectularius (bed bug), 544 nucleotides long. RefSeq lists it as uncharacterized. The record is from RefSeq and is a predicted model, not a curated record. The transcript is spliced from 4 exons. NCBI's taxonomy places the organism in Eukaryota, Metazoa, Arthropoda, Insecta, Hemiptera, Cimicidae.